This 260-nucleotide ribosomal RNA is filed under the name uncultured archaeon. RNAcentral's name for it is "partial 16S ribosomal RNA". It matches the Rfam family "Archaeal small subunit ribosomal RNA", at positions 748 to 1009 of the family's 1478-position model. The record is from RNAcentral.
CAGCCGUAAACUAUGCGCGUUAGGUGUAUCGGUGACCACGAGUUACCGAGGUGCCGAAGGGAAACCGUGAAACGUGCCGCCUGGGAAGUACGGUCGCAAGGCUGAAACUUAAAGGAAUUGGCGGGGGAGCACAACAACGGGUGGAGCCUGCGGUUUAAUUGGACUCAACGCCGGACAACUCACCGGGACGACAGCAAUAUGUAGGCCAGGCUGAAGACCUUGCCUGAAUCGCUGAGAGGAGGUGCAUGGCGUAGACGUCU